CAGAAACAGACAAAAUACUUCACAGCAGAUUGCAGUUUAUACAUAAAGUUGUUUAUAAUAUCUACAUAAUGGGUCAAACUCCACUAUCUGUAUAUGGGUGUAAUGUUGCUGAUUGCAGAGGUGAUACAUGUGUAUCACACAGUAGAAUCUGAUGCAAUAUCUGCUAAGUGCUAAGACAGUCCAGAAAUGGGGAAUAGCUACAUUUCAGGGAUCAGGAUACAUGAAGAAACGGACUCAAUUAAACAAACAAGUUUGUUUUAUUAGAGAAAGAGAGAGAGAGAGAGAGAUGGACCAUGAGAAUGGGAAUUGAGGUGUCAAUUAUCCAGAGAGGGGCUAUACGAGAUGGUGGUAGGCAGCUUUAGAAGAUCUACCAUGCUUUGUGGGGAGGUAUCAAGCAGGGACAAAUAUUAGGGUAUUUGGUGGUGGCAAGGAAUGAGCUCAAGGAGAGAAAAUAUAAGGUUCCUCAAUUAAAAAUGGUAGCUGCAACUGUCAACAAACACAGAAUAACUGUAAUCACUCUAUCCCACAUUAUUCAUUAAUUUGUUAAUUAGUGCCCCAUUAAUUUAAUGGUAUAAUCCAUUUUUAUAAACUAGUUUGUUAUGCAUCCAUUUUCAGCUGCUGAUGAAGUAGGAGAAAUUACCUGUCAUAGCAUCGAAAUGUCAUCGGAAUAAAGCCAAGUUUUCAGGUUAUAAAUGUUCAUUACAGCAGCCACAAAAUGAAUUUAUCACUUCAAGCGCCUUUUGAUCUUGCCUCUGUGAAUAAAUGCAAAUUCUUGAAAAAUGGUUAAGUUAAUAAAAUGUAGCAACCACACACUUUAAAAAUAAACCCCUAAUCCUGCAAAACUGUUCCAUGAAGGUGGGCCCUUCUGUUCCUGUGGAAUCAUAUUGACUUCAGUAAGAUUCUGCAUGGACACAGGGAAUGAAUAGCUGGAUUUUGGACAACCUGAGAUAUGCAGAGUUAAUAUUAAGGAGACCAUAACAGAAGUAAUUACAGGAAGGAAGAAAGGUGAAGACCUUUAUACAAAAGUUUCAACAGAGUAGUCAAUCUCCAGGGCAAAAGUUAGCCCUGUAGAAGUGAAACAAAUUGUUUUCCCAUAUACAUUCAUUUGAGAGGUCUUUUUUCCCAGCAGGGGUGGAGUGCUCUCUUUUCUCUCCCCAGUCCAAAUCCAAAAAGGCUGAUGGAUGUGAAUCAAAGCACAACAUUCAUUUCUCACUCUGCCCAGAUCUUGCACUGGAAUCCACUAGUGCAGAAUCUUUACCUGUGCAAUCAGGACCAUAGUCUUUAUGUGACAGUUCAUGUCAAACUAUCCUCUAGUGAAAAAUUCUGGAACCGCAAUAAUGGUAGCAAAUGUUUUCUCUUAAGAUUUACCCGCCCCUCUCCCCAACUCUCUACAGUACCAAAUCUGAAAUAUUAUUGCAGUCUUUUGAAAAUAUUCUUACUUGCUGUGCAUCCAGUGCAACUUCUUUAAAAUAAAACUAAAUUCCUUUACAAUUUGCAGGGGGGUUUCCUGAGCUUCAACUAAGGUUUAGAAGGUCUCCUGAGUGGAGAGAACAAGAGCAACAUUACUAGAGACCAAUAUGCCUUUCCUGUUCCUAGGAUCACAUGCCUACCCAUUGCCUGUUCAGUCUCAUCUGAUUGCUGUUCCUGGGAUAAACAUCCCUUUGCAGGGCCUAAGGGAGGCAAGUGACCGCUCCCCAGAGUAGUGUAUAAAACAAGAAGUGCAACAGACUCGAAGAUGUUUCUCAUAUAUUAGGAUAUAAUUGUGUAACUGUUUACUUAUAACAGUAAUUAUUCAAUUUUCAGAUAGAAAUAUUAUUUUAAUUACCCCCCCCCCCCACACACACACACACUUUCUUUAUCUACUUCUGUUCAUCCUAUGUAGAGGAUUGUGUGAGCUAGAAAGCUUGUCUCAAGAUCUGAACUUUCCCCAAGUUUGCAGUAGGUUUGGAUCUGAGAUUCCAGAUUAGGCCCAUCACUACUCUAAGGGUAUCAAUUUUGUAUCAGAAAAAGGUUUUGCAUCCCAUUUUUGUGGAGGCUUUAAAUCAACCCAGCACCUUUCUGCAGAACCCCUGGAGGUUCCCAACUCAUUUCUGGUGAGUGUAUGAUUCCUCUCUCUCGGUUCAUUGCUAGAUGGUCACCCCCUCACCAGUAAAAAGGCCACCACUGCAGACAGUCUCUCUACUGGGUAGAGCUGCAGAAGAAAGGGCAGAUUCAGUGGCACUGGCACAAUUUGUACAGUGGUGCUGAAAGUCACUGAACAAAAUUAUAAACCCUUCCUGCAUAUGAAUGAAACCACUUCAAGACAGCAGCCCUUGGCUGCUUCCAGAAAGAGGCCACUGAAGGUUGCAGCCUGAUGGGGAGGAAGAGCCGACUCCUCAGCCAGCAGAGGCAGUUGUCUGGCUGUGGGGAACUUCAGCAACUGACUAUGGGGAAGGAAGGCGGGGCCAGCAGCCUCUUCGCUGUUCUAGCCACGGAAUCUCCGGCACGGGGGCGUGUUUUUCCAGACGGGGCGGGCCCACGGAGCCAACACCCCCAGGCGCCGCCUCCGCCCUCCUCCAAGUUUGUGCGCUUUCCAACAGGCUGGACUCUCGCUGUUGCUGUUGCGGCUCAGCCAGAGCCCAAGCGCAGGGCGGCGGCGGCGACUACCUGCAGACGCCCCUGCCCGGCAGCAGAGCGCGGCGGGGCGAUGAAGGGGCGGCGGUGGCGCUGGCAGCACCGCCGCCUCGCCCUGCUGCUGGUGCUCUACACGCUGCUGCUGCUGCUCCUGGUGCCCUACGUGCACGACUACGGGGCCAGGCGGGGGCGCGGGGCGGAGGAGGCGCCGCUGCAGCCCCGCUGCCCCAGCCUGCAGGAGGCGCUGGGCGCGUGGGGCUGGGAGGAGGAGAAAGAGAAGGAGGAGCAGUUGCCCGGGGGCGAGGGGGCGGCGGCUGACAGGAGCGAGGCCGGCGGCGGCGGGAAGCGGCACAUCUACCUACACGCCACCUGGCGCACGGGCUCCUCCUUCCUGGGGGAGCUGUUCAACCAGCACCCGGACGUCUUCUACCUGUACGAGCCCAUGUGGCACCUGUGGCAGGCCCUGUACCCGGCCGACGCGCUCAGCCUGCAGGGCGCCCUGCGCGACAUGCUCCGCUCGCUCUUCCGCUGCGACUUCUCCGUGCUGCGCCUCUACGCCGCCCCGCCCGCGCCCCGGGACCCGCUGGCCCCUCCGGCCCCGGGCGGCAGCGGCGCCAACCUCACCACGGCCGGCCUCUUCGGCUGGCGGACCAACAAGGUGAUCUGCUCGGCCCCGCUCUGCCCGGACGCCCCCCGGGCCCGCCACGAGAUCGGCCUGAUCGACGGCGCCGCCUGCGAGCGGAGCUGCCCGCCGCGGGGCCUGCGGGAGCUGGAGGCCGAGUGCCGCAAGUACCCGGUGGUGGUGAUCAAGGACGUGCGGCUGCUGGAACUGGGCGCGCUGCUGCCGCUGCUGCGGGAGCCCGGCCUCAACCUGCGGGUCAUCCAGCUCUUCCGCGACCCCCGCGCCGUGCACAACUCCCGCCUCAAGGCCAAGCAGGCGUUGCUGCGGGAGAGCAUCCAGAUGCUGCGGAGCCGGCACCGCGCCGAGCCCCGGGGACUCCCCCGCCGGCAGCUCCUGCCCGCGGCCGGGCUGGGCGGCGGCGGGAUCCGGGCGCAGCAGCAGCACCGGGCCGAGUUCUUCCUGAGCGGCGCGCUGGAGGUGAUCUGCCAGGCCUGGCUCCGCGACCUGCUCUUCUCCCGCCGCGCCCCCGCCUGGCUGCGCCGCCGCUACACCCAGCUGCGCUACGAGGACCUGGUGCGGGAGCCCCGCGCCCAGCUGCGCCGCCUGCUGCGCUUUGCCGGCCUGCCCGUGCCGCCCGCCAUGGAGAGCUUCGUGCUCAACAUGACCCGCGGUGCCGCCUACUCCUCCGACCGGCCCUUCCUCAUCUCCGCCCGGGACGCGCGGGAGGCCAUCCACGCCUGGAGGGAGCGGCUCAGCCAGGAGCAGGUGCGCCAGGUGGAGGCUGCCUGCGGCGAAGCCAUGAGCCUCUUGUCCUACCCGCCCAGCGCCGAGCCCGGCGGCGGAGCCCGGGAGGGGGACAGCAGGUAGCGGCUGCCUCCUGGGCAGGACAUGCAGAUUAAACUAAGGACAUUCAUUCCCCGCCGCCCCCCUCCAAUGGUGUCACAGUGUGAGCUAUGGUUGUUUGGGUACCUUGAGCUUGAAUUGCAGACAUUGGAAGGAUGUGUUACUGUAACAGCCAAGGAAUGAAGAAAAAAUCAUCCCUGAAGAGACUACAUUCCACAUCCUUUCAGAACUUCAGUUUAUGCUAACAACUGUACAGUUCUGCAUAGCAGAACAAAUUCUAAUCACCUAAAACAGGUGGACAUGACGACUUCAUUUCCAGUAAGGAUAUGACGGUGCAAUAUGGACAACUAUGAACCUCCAAUAUGGAGUGGUUUAUUUUACAAUUUGAAGCUGCCAGUCUAUGGUCAAUUGUAGGUGCUUUUUAUGGCAACAAGGACACUUAAAUUUUUAAAGUUACUGACAAUACUUGGACAAAACAUCUACCGUUGCAAAAACUCAGUAUUUGCAAGUGUAGUAUUUUACACUUCAGUAUUGUAGCAAAAUUUUCAGAGAUCCAGGUGGUGGGUUUUUCUAAAUGCUCUGCUUCCACACCCUGUAACUGGGAAUUAUUUUAUCCUAAUACCAGGACUGUGUUUUUAGAAUUCUGAAUACAGUAAAUUAUAUAGUAAGUUGUGAGUUUGAUUAUACAAACCCCCCCUCCCCCCCCGGUGGGGGAGAGAAACAGUUGAAGUGCUGCUUCCGUUUCUAUUGCAUUGUGACCUAAUUCACAGAGAGCACAGUAACACCACACCAUACUCAUACAAGAAACUGCACAGAAACCUCUGUUUGUUUGGGAGGGGAAAAAGUUCAGGGCUGAUCACUGGUGUCAGUUGGCAUAGCUGAGGUUCUGACCUCUUAUGUUAAGCUCUUACUGAAAUGCCAAGCUAAAAUCCACUUCAAGUUUGCCUAUAACUCAUACCUUAAAUAACCCUUUGGUGCUGAGAGCUGGGAUUUCCACAGUGCUCAUUGUUAAUGUACUGUAUAGACCUUUUAAAAGAAUGCUAAGGCUAUGGGGCAUUUGUUCAAUGUGAUCUGGGUUUAAUUUAGCUCCAAAUUUAAGUCUUACAAAGAGCUUGUUUUACAAAAGCUAGGACUAAUAGAAUUCCCAUAGAAAGCUGAUGAAUUAGCCAUUCCCUAUACAGCUGGAAAUCCUUUCAUUGCAGCUUUGUUAUGGAAUGCAAAUCUGAAAUGGACAUUUGUAUUUCUCUCAGUUUGGACAAGCAGGCCAGGUCUACAUUAGAAAUGUUUACUGCACAGCAGUGCCUGUUAAGGCUGUGGAUUUUUUGUGACGUUUCCAUGCCUGCAAAAGCCUUAGUGUAGACAGUUGUAUCGGCAUAAGUGCUUUUGCUUAUUUCAGUCACUGAACUUGUACAUCUGUAUCAGCAAAGUGCAGGCUAGGCAUCAGUCAUUCUAGCUGAACUUCUAACAGAGAGCAGUAAUUUACCAGUAGACUUAAAAUCUUAAGUGGUGGUAAUAGACAAGAAAUGUUAAAAAGGAUUAGCCUGACAGCAUACCAUGGACCUGUCCUUUUGUGCCUAGAUGCUUGUGGACAGGAGUCACUCUGUCAUGAUUUUGAUUGUUACAAACAUCAGUGCUCAGUGACAUCCGUAUAGAUUUGUCAGUAGAUCAAACAGAGUAACUUGCAGAGGAAACAGCAUGGUGGCAUGCAAUAUGGAUUCAAAUGUGGCCAGCCUUGAUAGUAGUGUGUGCACACAACAGUGUUUUGAAAGAUUCUGUAAAUAGAUGCACACUCACCAGACUAAGAUUAGCAAAUCAGAAGUCAUCAUUCCAUAGUAAAUACUGACUACUUUAAGAGUUUGGUUUGUGUAGCUUUGGGCAGCUGUUCUUUGAACUCUUCAGAAACAAUCUGCAGUGUAAUUAAAGCCACUUUCCUAACCCUGACCUGUACAUGUGAGCCACUGUUGAAGUUUACAUUUUUUCUAUUUUAUUUCUUAUGUCAAGUGGUGGAAGGGGAAGAGUUGUUACUGAAAGUAAAUUCCUCAUGUUGUCCCCUUAAUGUAUUUUGGAUCCUGCAGUCCUUCCCCUCGCAAAAAAUGUACUGAAGUUCAAUGGGAAUUCUGCUGAAUUUAGGACUUCAGCUUUAAGCACAGCAUGACUGUUUCCGGCAGUAUUUCUGUAUUAAAACUGCAUGUCGAAGCCAUUUCUUUGGCUUUGUAAUUUACCAGUUCCUUCAAAGUUUCCCUCUUUUAGAUUUAGGCUUAUUUUUUCUAUAUCUUUUAUUUUACAAAAUGGUAUAAAAAACCCAUAUUAGAGGCAUUUGGAUUUUUAUCAGAUGGAAUCAAACUGUCUUCCACAAGCUUAAAACUUACAAUAUAAUGAAAGGAUAUUAAGCUACUUCACAUUGCAAACCUGUCUUACUAAAACAGUAUUUUCAAAUACAAGAACAAAUCCUCUUUCUAAAUGUCCUCUGGCCCUACAAUGUACACUGGAUAUAUGAGAACCGUGCUCUUGUUACUGAGCUGUUCUGGUCCGCUUCACUCCCCUGAAGUUUGAACUGGAUCUUUCUAAGAUGUGAUAUUGCCUUCCUUGGAUUCCCCCUCCCACCCUCUUCUUUCUGUUCUCUGGGACUUUAGUCCACGUACAUGAAGGGUAUUACUCCCACUACUCACAUCCCACUGAGCCUCCCUGGCCUGUAAGCUGAAUGUUUUGAGAAAGUAAAUGGCUACUAAAUGACUCAUUGAAUACUGAUUUUGCUCUGACAGGCCUUUUUCCUAUCUUACAAGCUUAACUUCUCAUGCUUUAACUUUUUUUUUUUCCAUUUAAGCACUUAAAUUCCAUUCUCACUCGUGCAGAAGCAGGAAUUCUGCCAAAAUGGAGUUGGAGCAAGUUAUUAGUGGUGAGUUACAACUUCAAAACAGAAGUUCUAAAAGGCAACACUGAACCUUUCUCUGAAGGGUAUUAGAAUGAGUGUAGUGUUCUCAGGUUUACUGUGCAGAAUCAGCCUUCUGUAACCAAGAUACUGGAUUUUUUAAAGUGAAUAACUACUUGUCUGAUCAUUCGUGUCUGAAGAUAAAUUGCAGGUUUUGUUAAAUUGAAAUUAUGUAGAAGGACCAAGUCCUUCAACCCCCACUUGUUUCAAUGGGGCUAUGUGCAUGUGUAAGCUUACAGAACUGGGCUCUGUGGUGGUUAUAGGUAGGCGGUGCCACCAGCUCUAUUAAGGUUACCCAACGCUUCCCAUUAAAGACCGUUUUCAAUUAUUAUCUUUUGUCAAAUGGUAAGCAUGUAGGCUAAAAUGUUCCAUGCUGUGCAUCUACUUCAGUCUGAAAUCUUUUUAGAAAAUUUCCCCAUGAUGGUUCAGCUGUUUUAGAGAAUGGGGGGGCGAAGAAAUACAUUUUUCACUAUUCAAAAUUCUCGUGACUUCUUGGAGAAAUUAGAGCCCCUAUCCUGUGGAGCAAGGACUCUGUGGGCAGAUGCUGUGCCUUUGUAUUGGGCUGUGCCUUUUACCAUCCCCAUGAAAGUUUGUCCAAAAGGUAGCUAAGUUAUAUAUACACCUUUCAAAAAUGGCAGUUAGCACAUGCUCAUACUUAAAUUUUAGCUGCUAAAAUCUAAAGAGUCUUUCCUUGCUUAGCAUGUUUUGAGCCUCUCACAGCCCCUAGCAUCCUGGUCAAUCCCCACAAAACAUGCUCCCCCACCCCCUCACACUACAUGGCAAAGGCAGAUGUUUUCCUGUAACUGCUGCUCCUGCCUGUUCUAGGCUAGGCACUAGAACUGGGGGAAUCUGACUUUCCUUUACUCUGUGACCCUUCUGCUGGUACCCAGGCAGCAUGCAGGUGGAAGCACUCACCUGCGUGAAGUCAGUCAAUGGGAGCUGUACUUUGAACAACUAAAGUGCCAAUAUAAUAGGAAGUAAUCUGAUUUAUCAGGUUAUGGGUGUCAAGAUAGGCACCCACACAGGAGGAACUGAGAUUUUAAGUAACCAUGAUCUGUGAAACUGGGUUCAAAGUUAAUGUGCUAAGGUUUUGUGACACACUCAUAUUCUAGAAAUAAGUGCCACAGAAACACCUAUGAGGAAAUUAUUUUUUUUUGGUCCUCAGAGCCAGGUUCCGUAGUGUGCGUUAAAUCAGAUAUAGGGCUAUACACUGUACAAUGGGGAUAAAAUAAAACUGAGUGCACUGAACGAGACAGAGGUCCCAUAGGAAAAGUGAUCAUAAUUAAUUAAACUAGCAAUGCUUACACACAAGGGGGGUCAAAUUAAGGUCAUAGGAACCUUAAUUGUAGCGUUUCUUGUCACAAGAGCUUGUCUUUGCAACUUUAAUAAUCUUAACAUGUGGAUCACAUGUAAACAAAAUCUAAGUUCCACUGGUAAGUGACAUACAUAAGACUAAGAGGUAGUUGUGCAGGAGAGAUAGAAAAGAUUUUUUUUUUUGUCCAGGAGUAUCAACAAAUUAGUUUCACAUCUACUAGCACUGGGGCAAAGAAACGAGCAUAGUCCACAUUAAAAGCAGAAGUUUGAAAUUUAUUUUUUUACAUCCUUCCACAUGACCCCACUGAAAGCACUUCCAUGAUUUUUCAGCAGACAUAUGAGCACACCAAGCAAGAUUUAGCUGUGUUCUGAGACAGUUCAGGCACUAUGAUUGGGUAAUUGUACUACACUGCCUUUUCCACGAUCGAGUGAAUGUUAACAUCCUGUAUAAAAAUCUUUAAGUAGCUGCAAAACAGCUUUCCAAACACAAUUGAUACAUUAGCUUCUGUGGAGUGUUAAAGACGAUUAUAGUCUUAACUUUGUCGAUCUCAUUUAGGACAAAGCUCAUGCUGACCCAAAGUACUAAACAUAAUUUUGUUUUAAGGGCUAGAGCAGUAAAGCAGUUUUUGUCAGUAAGCUCAGUUCUUAAGCAAAUUCCAUACCCCAUUCCUUGAACCACAGGGUACACUGACUUUUGGUAAGCCAUAGUUUAAAUAUUGAAUUGACAUUAAUAUCUUAACAUUACACUACUGCUAUGAAGGCAUAAUGCAAAGGCAGAUGUCAGUCACAUCCUUGAUACAGGUAUCAGCCAAUGAAGUGAUCUCACAUAUUGUAGACUGACUGACUCAGCAACUCACACCUGUUAGGAGGAAGACCCUCUCUUAAACUUCAAUCUGAUCUGACUAAGAUAUUAACAUAGAGGGGUUGCCGUAUUGUUCAUCACAGUCUUAAACUAUGAUUCCAUUCAGAGACUCAGAGCAAGCUUGAGGGGGAAAAGAAGACAGGAAUUUCUGUAACUUUCCAUAGUUUUGUUACUACAUCUAUUUGUAUGUCUAAGUCAAGCUCUAGCCUAACCAACCCAGCCUCAGUACUGGCAUGAAGUUAAAAUUCAUCACACUGUUCCACGGAAAGGAUUUUCACAUUUAGAGCAAAAUUUCAGUAUACGGUAAAUUGGAAAAGCACAUGAACCACAAAGGACAAGAAAAAAUCAGCACCAGCUGAAAAUGUAAACCAUGCCAUGCUAAAGAUUAGAUAGUUCUUGUGAGUUUUUAGUAAAGAAAUCCUAUUAAAGGGUAAUUUUCUGUAAUGGUUAGUGAUUUCUAUAGUAACAAGUGGUUGGUGCUGUUAGUUCAUUUAGCUUUGAUUCAUUCUGAAGUCUAAACUGGGAAGAAAGGUUGAAGUCAAAACUGAUAAAGUGAAAGACCCGUGUUCAUUUCAUUGUUUUAAAGCAGUGGCUCUGAACCCUUUCACACUAUUGUACCUCUUUCAGGAAGUUGAUUUGUCUUGCAUUCCCCAAGUUUCACCUCACUUAAACUACUUGCUUACAACAAUCAAACAAAAAUACACGUGUCACAGCACACUUAUUGAAAAAUUGCGUACUUUCUCAUUUUUACCAUAUAAUUAUAAAAUCAAUUGGAAUAUAAAUUAUACUUUUUAGUGUAUAUUAUAUAGAGAAGUAUAAACCAGUCAUUGUCUAUAUGAAAUUUUAGUUUGUACUGACUUCGCUAGUGCUUUUUAUGUAGCCUG
This is an RNA transcript of Gopherus evgoodei (Goodes thornscrub tortoise), 10067 nucleotides long. It is a transcript of the gene named carbohydrate sulfotransferase 7, with no coding region annotated. The record is from RefSeq and is a predicted model, not a curated record. NCBI's taxonomy places the organism in Eukaryota, Metazoa, Chordata, Testudines, Testudinidae. The transcript has 3 exons.